This 1450-nucleotide ribosomal RNA is filed under the name Microsomacanthus pachycephala. RNAcentral's name for it is "SSU rRNA". It matches the Rfam family "Eukaryotic small subunit ribosomal RNA", at positions 18 to 1269 of the family's 1831-position model. Lineage: Eukaryota; Metazoa; Platyhelminthes; Cestoda; Cyclophyllidea; Hymenolepididae. The record is from RNAcentral.
CAGUAGUCAUAUGCUUGUCUCAGAGAUUAAGCCAUGCAUGUCUAAGUUCAUGCCUUUAUACGGUGAAACCGCGAAUGGCUCAUUAAAUCAGCUAUGGUUUAUUGGAUCGUACCCGUUAAAUGGAUAACUGUAAUAACUCUAGAGCUAAUACAUGCCACGAAGCCCUGACCCCGCUUGUCGGGGAAUGGGUGCACUUAUUAGAACAGAAGCCAACCAGCCUUUUGGCUGUAGCACUUCUGGUGACUCUGGAUAAUUGUUACAGAUCGCAGUCGGCUUUAUGUCGGCGACGGGUCCUUCAAAUGUCUGCCCUAUCAACUUUCGAUGGUAGGUGACCUGCCUACCAUGGUGAUAACGGGUAACGGGGAAUCAGGGUUCGAUUCCGGAGAGGGAGCCUGAGAAACGGCUACCACUUCCAAGGGAGGCAGCAGGCGCGCAAAUUAUCCACUCCCAGCACGGGGAGAUGGUGACGAAAAAUACCGAUGCGGGACUCAUCUACGAGGCUCCGUAAUCGGAAUGAGUGGACUCUAAAUCCUUUCACGAGGAUCAAUUGGAGGGCAAGUCUGGUGCCAGCAGCCGCGGUAACUCCAGCUCCAAUAGCGUAUAUUAAAGUUGCUGCAAGUUAAAAAGCUCGUAGUUGGAUCUCGGUAGCAUUGUUGCCUGCUUAGUUAUCGUGCACUGCGGUGUGCCUCUUAUCAUUGUGUGCUCGUAUGGCUUCGCUGUGCGAGUACCGUGGUGGGUAGUACAUAAAAACUGUAGUGCAAUGAGCUGGCAUGGCGAUGGUGUCACCUUUGAGCCAUGUCUGUGGUGUAACAGCCACAGGUGUAAGUGAGUGUCGGGCAGUGUCCUGCACUUGUGUGGGGCCUCGUCGGCUCAUUUACAUUGCCAAUGGAUGCCCUUCAAAAGGUUCAUGGGCGGAUGGCAACGUUUACUUUUGGAACAAAAUUGAGUGCUCAAAUCAGGCCGAUGUUGCCUGAAAAGUUUUGCAUGGAAUAAUGGAAUAGGACUUCGGUUCUAUUUCGUUGGUUUUCGGAUCCGAAGUAAUGAUCAAAAGAGACAGGCGGGGACGUUUGUAUGGCUGCGCUAGAGGUGAAAUUCAUGGACCGUAGCCAGACAAACUAAAGCGAAAGCAUUCGUCAAGCAUGUUUUCAUUGACCAUGAGCGAAAGUCAGAGGCUCGAAGACGAUCAGAUACCGUCCUAGUUCUGACCAUAAACGAUGCCAACUGACGAUCCGUGGUGGAAGUCUACAAACCUUCCCCACGGGCAGUCCCCGGGAAACCUUUAAGUCUUUGGGUUCCGGGGGAAGUAUGGUUGCAAAGCUGAAACUUAAAGGAAUUGACGGAAGGGCACCACCAGGAGUGGAGCCUGCGGCUUAAUUUGACUCAACACGGGAAAACUCACCCGGGCCGGACACUAUGAGGAUUGACAGAUUGAUAGCUCUUUCUUGAUCGG